AGUCUCCACCAUCUCGAUGGCUUGCUUCAUUUCCAGCUUCUUGUACAAAGAAACAAUGCUUGAUUUGGGUAGGUUCUUUCUGAUGAGGAUUUUCCGUAAGUAUCUAUGAUCAAACUUCUUAAACCUAAAAAUGAAAACCAACAUUUUGGAAAUCUUGAACGUCUGUAUGUGUUACAUUAAGUAUGCAUUUCUCUUGAAACAAACUACUUACUACUUAACUUUAUUCUGAAGAAACAUCAGGACAGUGCCUGGAAUUCAUAGCAUUUGAACACAUUUUUUAAAAAAAUUCAUAGCAUUUAUGCAUUUUUUAAAAUAAAAAAAAAGAAUGGCCUACUGGCCUGAAUACAUUGAAAAUCAGCUAAACAAAAGGAAGGGACAAGCUGCAAUCAGGGCAAAAAGUGUGCAUAAGUGAGGCGCGGGGGAGGCCCAGCCCAGCUCAGCUCCAAUUGUAAGAGAAGAAAUGAGGGGGCUGAAGCUUUUGAAUAAGUGUUCCAUUCUAAUAGCGCAUAACAGCGGCAGCUGCACUUACAGUAAUACUGGCCUAUUCAACCAGAACCCAAUAAGUUUAAAUGGCCCGGUAGUUACAGUAGUUUUGCCCCAUUAUGCUGCAGAUCAUUUUGAAUCCUACCAAUUAAGGGGAAGAAAAAAACCCUACGUAUGUCCCAAUAGCCUGAAUGAUGGAGAUUCUGAAUAGGCGAGACUGAUGGCCGCUGACUAUUGUAAGGAACCUCUGGCCAGCCCAUUCGACUGAGCUGCGCUAUGCAUAUGGUGCCUUCAGAGUCAGCCAUUUGUUUGGAGUUGGAAUUUUCAACACUUUCAAUCAUUUUACAUUCAAAGAGUAGUUUGCCCGCCUGCUUUAUUUUCCAGAGGGGCACAUAGCUUUCCGGGCUGCUGGUUUAUUAUCUGGCAAUUGGUUUCCUGGUCUGUGAGGUGCUAAGCCCCUCCAGGGUUAGGGGCUGGCUUCCUGAGCUUUGCUGUCCCAGCUCGGCUCAGACCAGGCCUCCUCUUAUUCCAACUGGGUCGAUCUUCUGUCUUCUAGUUUUCUGCCCUCAUGAGAAGCCGCGGUUCCUGUGUAUUCUCAGCCCACGGUAAUCACCUCCCCAACCAUAACACCCUCCCUGACUUUCUUCUCACUGAGCUCGCCUUGACCUUGCCCUGUUCAACUCCAGAGGCUGCCCUCAUUCUUCCCAUACUGGAUGCUUUGUGUCUCCUGACGUGCUGGGUCCUCCCCUCUGCGCCCUCCACACCCUGACUCGCUCGUGCUUCGCUGCCAGCCUCUCUGACCACUUCUUCUCAAUCUCCUUCCGCACUUUCUUUUCCUUGCCUGCGCCACGAGAGUGAGAGCUUCUCAGAGCCCCAUCCUCAGUGAGCUUCCAGCUACUCACUGACAACUCUAGCCGCAACCUCCCUCCUGAACUGGAAACUAAGUCCAGUAAAACAAUACAUUCUGAAAGGUGAGAUAUGGUGAAGAAGAGGGAUUUGGGCAUUUUAAAAAAGAAUUACUAUAUUUGAGAAUCUUAAAGAUCUUCCACCAUGGCCUCCCCAACAAUGGAGGAAUCCCUUGCCAGGAUUCCUAAGGAGGCACCAAGCUCCCUUUCUAAACUCCUUUUCUAAGCUGGCCAUUCCGUGGUAGAGCUGAUCUUAUCAUUGGGAACCUUGUCCUUGUUUUUAACUUAAAUAUUACUUUUCUAAUUUCUACCCACUAGCUGUACCAGUUCUCUCUGAAACAACCUACACCAAGUCAACUGCGUCUUCCACCUGACAAUUCUUCAUUUUCCAGGCUUAGCAUGCCCUGGAAUUUCAACCACUUCCUGUAGGGGAUGGCUCAGGAGCACUUUAUCUUCUUGGUCUCCAUUCCCUGAAUUCUCUCUGAUUUUAUGCCCAGCUUCCAAUGGAACCUUUAGAAGUUUGUCAGGGAGUGAAACCCUCAGCCUCCUUACUUGUCUCUCACUUGGUAGUGACUCCAGUGCCCACACACAUCUUCGAUUCCAGCCUUUAAGUGAUCCAUCAGCUGCCAAACAAACACAAGAAAAUGAUUGCUGGAGAAACGCGAACUCUGAAAGACACACAGGACAACUAAGACACUUUAAAAAACAAAGGAGCCUUUAAUUUUCUGGAGCCUAUCUGACUUUCUAUCACUGUGUUCAUGUAAUAAAAUAUUUGGUGCCUUUCAUAGUAAUUUCAUAGUAAUUUCAACUUUGGUUUAAAGACUCUGUAGAUAAGUUUCUUCAUAAUUCACAUAAUACGUAAUGAAAACAGGGCACCUGGCAUUUGCUUUGGAUAAUACUUUUCUAGAAUGAUCUAGGAAAUUUCUCAUUACUGAAAUCAC
Molecule: long non-coding RNA, 2329 nt
Filed under: Homo sapiens (human)
Lineage: Eukaryota; Metazoa; Chordata; Mammalia; Primates; Hominidae
Description: non-protein coding lnc-MFSD9-20:2
Source: RNAcentral